This 74-nucleotide transfer RNA is filed under the name Gallaecimonas pentaromativorans. RNAcentral's name for it is "tRNA-Met". It matches the Rfam family "tRNA". Rfam says of the family: Transfer RNA (tRNA) molecules are approximately 80 nucleotides in length. Their secondary structure includes four short double-helical elements and three loops (D, anti-codon, and T loops). Lineage: Bacteria; Pseudomonadati; Pseudomonadota; Gammaproteobacteria; Enterobacterales; Gallaecimonadaceae. The record is from RNAcentral.
GGCCCCUUAGCUCAGUUGGUUAGAGCAGUCGACUCAUAAUCGAUUGGUCGCCUGUUCAAGUCAGGCAGGGGCCA